CAGGAUUCAAGGAAAAGGAUUCCUUUUCUUCCAUGAGUGCUUUGUUUUAUUAUCACCAUGAGCAAAGCAGCAGAAAUCUCUGACCCGAUUGGCUCUGCCCAAAAAUCUCCAUAUGAAAAGAGUGCCCUGACACGGCAAAGUGUUCCUCAACCUCCCUCCAGAAGCCCCUUGGCACAUCUGGCACAACGGGGCGUUCAGCACCACGGAC
Long non-coding RNA from Tupaia belangeri chinensis (Chinese tree shrew), 208 nucleotides. RefSeq lists it as uncharacterized. The record is from RefSeq and is a predicted model, not a curated record. NCBI's taxonomy places the organism in Eukaryota, Metazoa, Chordata, Mammalia, Scandentia, Tupaiidae. The transcript is spliced from 3 exons.